RNAcentral lists this ribosomal RNA (1140 nucleotides) under Brucella abortus. Its description in RNAcentral is "partial 23S ribosomal RNA". It matches the Rfam family "Bacterial large subunit ribosomal RNA", at positions 1 to 1132 of the family's 2925-position model. Lineage: Bacteria; Pseudomonadati; Pseudomonadota; Alphaproteobacteria; Hyphomicrobiales; Brucellaceae. The record is from RNAcentral.
GUUUGGUUAAGUUAGAAAGGGCGCACGGUGGAUGCCUUGACACUAGGAGUCGAUGAAGGACGGGACUAACGCCGAUAUGCUUCGGGGAGCUGUAAGUAAGCUUUGAUCCGAAGAUUUCCGAAUGGGGAAACCCACCAUACGUAAUGGUAUGGUAUCCUUAUCUGAAUACAUAGGGUAAGGAAGACAGACCCAGGGAACUGAAACAUCUAAGUACCUGGAGGAAGAGAAAGCAAAUGCGAUUUCCUGAGUAGCGGCGAGCGAAACGGAACAUAGCCCAAACCAAGAGGCUUGCCUCUUGGGGUUGUAGGACAUUCUAUACGGAGUUACAAAGGAACGAGGUAGACGAAGCGACCUGGAAAGGUCCGUCGUAGAGGGUAACAACCCCGUAGUCGAAACUUCGUUCUCUCUUGAAUGUAUCCUGAGUACGGCGGAACACGUGAAAUUCCGUCGGAAUCUGGGAGGACCAUCUCCCAAGGCUAAAUACUCCCUAGUGAUCGAUAGUGAACCAGUACCGUGAGGGAAAGGUGAAAAGCACCCCGGAAGGGGAGUGAAAGAGAUCCUGAAACCGUGUGCCUACAAAUAGUCAGAGCCCGUUAAUGGGUGAUGGCGUGCCUUUUGUAGAAUGAACGGCGAGUUACGAUCCCGUGCGAGGUUAAGCUGAAGAGGCGGAGCCGCAGCGAAAGCGAGUCUGAAUAGGGCGUUUAGUACGUGGUCGUAGACCCGAAACCAGGUGAUCUACCCAUGUCCAGGGUGAAGUUCAGGUAACACUGAAUGGAGGCCCGAACCCACGCACGUUGAAAAGUGCGGGGAUGAGGUGUGGGUAGCGGAGAAAUUCCAAUCGAACCUGGAGAUAGCUGGUUCUCCCCGAAAUAGCUUUAGGGCUAGCCUUAAGUGUAAGAGUCUUGGAGGUAGAGCACUGAUUGGACUAGGGGUCCUCAUCGGAUUACCGAAUUCAGUCAAACUCCGAAUGCCAAUGACUUAUCCUUAGGAGUCAGACUGCGAGUGAUAAGAUCCGUAGUCAAAAGGGAAACAGCCCAGACCGCCAGCUAAGGUCCCAAAGUGUGUAUUAAGUGGAAAAGGAUGUGGAGUUGCUUAGACAACUAGGAUGUUGGCUUAGAAGCAGCCACCAUUUAAAGAGUG